AUACAGAGGGCUCAAGCGUUAAUCGGAAUUACUGGGCUUAAAGGGUGCGUAGGCGGGUCUGGAAGUGCUUUGUGAAAUCCCACGGCUCAACCGUGGAACUGCUUGGUAGACUGCAGAUCUUGAGGUUGGUAGGGGCUGCCGGAACUCUAGGUGUAGCGGUGAAAUGCGUAGAUAUCUAGAGGAACACCAAAGGUGAAGACAGGCAGCUGGGCCAAUCCUGACGCUGAGGCACGAAAGCGUGGGUAGCGAACGGGAUCAGAAACCCCGGUAGUCC
RNAcentral lists this ribosomal RNA (274 nucleotides) under uncultured bacterium. RNAcentral's name for it is "partial 16S ribosomal RNA". It matches the Rfam family "Bacterial small subunit ribosomal RNA", at positions 523 to 796 of the family's 1533-position model. The record is from RNAcentral.